CUUUUCUAUGAAAAGUUUAAGGAAAAGCAUAAAAUCACUCUGUUCUUAAAUGUGCCAUUUAUCUUAAAUGCAUGAAAUUUUUAAUAAAAUAAAACUUCAGUAGAUAAAUAAGUUACCCCUAGAUUAGAAAGGUAGAUGACUGUAAGACAUUUACUCAAUUCUGUUGAAUAGUUGGAGCUUAAGAAAAUAAAGCAACUACUUCACUUCAAUGGCAGAUUAAGGGUGGAAAAGGAAAUGCAUUGCCUUAACUGAGCAUUGCAAUUAGCAACAAGCACAAUGGAAUUUUUCUUUGCAAAUUUGUGAUAUUGUGUGAAGAUUUCAGAUCUCACUUGACUUGAAAAAUUUUUUCUGGAAAAAAAAAGUCUUGUCCCUUUGAUUUAACCAAACCAACUCAAUUUAAAUAAGUACAAUUUUCUCUUCCCUUUGUUUUGUUGAAUCAGAACUUUGCAUCAAAUAUAACAAAACCAAAUCAUAUGUAUAAUUUUUUUUAAGAAUUUUUCUUUGCCAAUGCUGCAUAAUUUGGCACCCCCAAAAAGUAUAUUCUUACUGAUGAUGCGUCAACUCGAACAAUUGGCAAGUGUCUAUCUAGCAUCAAUGUUGAGAAAGUUGAAACUAAUUGGCGGACUGUCAGGGAGCUCCUCUUCUCUUCUCUCCUGGAGCUCUUCAGUAUCUCAAUGGAACUGACUAAGCUAGCUGUUGAUAAGGUCAUGACUGCACCAUGCGAGAUAUUGGUUUUAUAUCCAAAGCAUGGUGGAAAUCUGCACUGUCUCACAGCAAUAACACCUUGUGCUGUGCUAGACAUUCUUUCACUUCCUGAUAGAGAAGAUGAAGGAAGGAAGUGUACUUACUAUCGUGAUUAUCCAUAUUCAACAUUCUGGGCAUCAAGAAAUAGAUAACUGCUAUGGUCGAGGAUCUACUUUCUUUCUGGAUUCAACCAUUAAAAUCUACAUUAGGCAGCUUCUGUAGCAGUUGCAACUUGGUGAGCAUGUUAUGAUCAUUUUCCUUUGUGUGAAGCCCAAGCAAACACUUUUUGGAGAGUCCCUCUACAUCACAAUUAGUGUAUUAACCUGAACAAAUGAAUGAUUGGAUGGUUAAAUUCUUUUCUGGUUUACCUGGAGUUCUUCACUUAUAGUCCUUCAACUUUGAGGUGUGAUUGCAAUCUGAGUUCUCUAGCCAAAAAGUUCGUAACCAACGACCGUCUAUUGUAUCAUUGAUCUCACCAUUUAGUUUAUGCGUUUAUAUUCUUGUACAAGAGUUCUGCAUGUAUGCUAGUAGUGCUUGUAAGUUUUGAGACUUGUUUGUAGUUUUGAUUUGGAAAAUAGUGAAAACUUUUACCUUGCCGUAGGUUUUUUUUAUCUCUC
Arachis ipaensis is the source of this 1361-nucleotide non-coding RNA. The record is from RefSeq and is a predicted model, not a curated record. Lineage: Eukaryota; Viridiplantae; Streptophyta; Magnoliopsida; Fabales; Fabaceae.